AUGCUCUUCAAAUGGAAAACACUUGUCAAAUAAACCAACAGAUUUGAUGAGCUUCCAAUUGUUCCCAGCUUCUCAAAUGUCUCAUUCCCUGCAGUUUUUAGCAUACAAUAACAAGUUAGACUCGGCUAUAUGUAAAAUAGUGUCAAGAAAAGGAAAAAUUAUGAGACUAUUCACUAAUACAAGUUUAGUGUAUAUAUAUAAAAAAAACCUAUGACAAAGGGCAUGGCUCUG
RNAcentral lists this unclassified non-coding RNA (231 nucleotides) under Hevea brasiliensis (rubber tree). The record is from RNAcentral. Lineage: Eukaryota; Viridiplantae; Streptophyta; Magnoliopsida; Malpighiales; Euphorbiaceae.